This 867-nucleotide long non-coding RNA is filed under the name Salmo salar (Atlantic salmon). RNAcentral describes it as "lncRNA (ENSSSAG00000086142.1, ENSSSAG00000092971.1)". Lineage: Eukaryota; Metazoa; Chordata; Actinopteri; Salmoniformes; Salmonidae. The record is from RNAcentral.
GGCUGUGCGAAGUUGCUGGAUAUUAGAGGGAACUAGAUCACCGUCAUACGUCAAUGCAGAAAAUCCCAAACAUGCUCACAUGUCUGGUGACUAUGCAGGCCAUGGAAGAACUGGAACAUUUUCAGCUUUCAGGAAUUGUAUACAGAUCCUUGCGACAUGGGGCCAUGCAUUAUCAUGCUGAAAGAUUUCUUCAUCUGUAGCUUAUGCCUGCCUAUACCAUAACCCCACUGCCACAAUGGAUCACUCGGUUUACAAUGCUGACGGCUUGUAAGUAAGCAUUUCACUGUAAGGUCUACACCUGUUGUAUUCGGCGCAUGUGACAAAUAACAUUUGAUUCGAUUUGACGUCAGCAAACCGCUCACCAACAAAGCUUUACACGCUGUCUGCCAUCUGCCCAGUACAGUUGAAACCGGGAUUUAUCCUUGAAGAGCACACUUUUCCAGCAUGCCAGUGGCCAUCGAAGGUACCUCUCCACGGGACUUUCCACACUGCCAGAGCCAGAAGCACACCAGGACAGAUAAAAUAAUGAGAGGCAUAGCAUAUUUAGCAGGUCUGAGUCUACUUAUUCAGUUUGGUGAGAAUGUGGAUCCUUACCUGUGCACCCACCUGGUCUACACUUUUGCCAUCAUGAAUUAUGCUAAUGAGCUCAUCACCUACGAGUGGAACGACAAGACCCUCUACAAGUCUUUCACCGCCUUGAAGACCAAGUAAUAGUUUCUGAUGAUGAAUACAAUUAAAUCAAUUUUGUAUCUAUUAAAAUGGUAAUUUGUUGCUCAUUUGGUAAAACACUACAUUUCUCUUUUUUACUAGGCAAGUCAGUUAAGAACAAAUUCUUAUUUACAAUGACGGCCUACUGGGGAACAGCGG